AAUCGUACGUAGAGUGUAAAGGCAAAAGAGAGCUUGAUUGCAAGACAUACAGGUCGAGCAAGGAUGAAAAUCGGACUUAGUGAUCCGGUGGUUCUGCGUGGAAGGGCCAUCGCUCAACGGAUAAAAGCUACCCUGGGGAUAACAGGCUUAUCUCCCCCAAGAGUCCACAUCGACGGGGAGGUUUGGCACCUCGAUGUCGGCUCAUCACAUCCUGGGGCUGUAGUAGGUCCCAAGGGUUGGGCUGUUCGCCCAUUAAAGUGGUACGCGAGCUGGGUUCAGAACGUCGUGAGACAGUUCGGUCCCUAUCCGUCGCAGGCGUAGGAAAUUUGAGAAGACCUGUCCUUAGUACGAGAGGACCGGGAUGGACGUACCUCUGGUGUACCAGUUGU
This 389-nucleotide ribosomal RNA is filed under the name Clostridioides difficile. RNAcentral describes it as "partial 23S ribosomal RNA". It matches the Rfam family "Bacterial large subunit ribosomal RNA", at positions 2336 to 2724 of the family's 2925-position model. Lineage: Bacteria; Bacillati; Bacillota; Clostridia; Peptostreptococcales; Peptostreptococcaceae. The record is from RNAcentral.